This is a small nucleolar RNA of Papaver somniferum (opium poppy), 83 nucleotides long. RefSeq annotates it as small nucleolar RNA R11/Z151. Lineage: Eukaryota; Viridiplantae; Streptophyta; Magnoliopsida; Ranunculales; Papaveraceae. The transcript has a single exon. The record is from RefSeq and is a predicted model, not a curated record.
AGGCCAAUGGUGAUAAAUUUUACAUCUUAGUGGAUAUCAGUGAGAUUUUAUCAAUGGUCUAAAUGUUACACACACUAAAGCGU